RNAcentral lists this unclassified non-coding RNA (668 nucleotides) under Hevea brasiliensis (rubber tree). Lineage: Eukaryota; Viridiplantae; Streptophyta; Magnoliopsida; Malpighiales; Euphorbiaceae. The record is from RNAcentral.
CAGUAUAGAUAUUAAUGACAGAUUCCCCCGUGAUUUCCUUUCUGAAAUAUUCUCCAGAGGGAUACCUGCUGAGGAUACAUCUGGCGUUAACCCAAUUCACAAAGAUGGAGCUGGCGUGAGUGUGAACAUGGAAAAUCAUGAGCCCAAGCGCUGGUCAUAUUUUCAGAAGUUGGCACAGGAAGGGUUUGUUCAAAAAAAUGCUUCUUCUACUGACAAGGAUCGUCUUGGUACUCCAUCUGCAAUUUCAAAAGCUGAAGAAGGAGAUCAGAUAUCUUAUCAUCAAACACCUUUGACAACUGAUGGAAUGUCAAUAGACCAUGAGUAUUCCCAAAUCAAUUUUGGUGAAGACAUUAAGAAAAAUUUGCCAGAAAUGGUUGGAGCUGAAUCUACAAUGCUUUCAGAUUUUGUUCAUUCUCCAGUGAAAAACAGUGAAAGUAUGCAAUUUGAUGUUAUGACGGAGAACCUAAAGUCACCAGAUUCAUGCUAUGAGGGUGCUGAGUUGGAAAGCAGGAAUGCUGGCCUACGCCUACCUCCUCUUGAUCCAUCUCUGGUAGAUUUUGACAUCAAUACUUUUCAGGUCAUAAAAAAUGAAGAUCUUGAAGAGCUGAGAGAACUGGGUUCUGGUACUUUUGGGACUGUAUACUAUGGAAAAUGGAGGGGAUCAGAUG